Long non-coding RNA from Mytilus californianus (California mussel), 3224 nucleotides. RefSeq lists it as uncharacterized. The transcript has 3 exons. Lineage: Eukaryota; Metazoa; Mollusca; Bivalvia; Mytilida; Mytilidae. The record is from RefSeq and is a predicted model, not a curated record.
UUUAUACGAACGACAAAAAAUUUUUGUGGUCGUAUAUUGGUAUGACGUUGGCGUCGUCGUCGUCUUUCGAAGACACAUUAGUUUUCGCACUCUAACUUUAGUUUAAGUAAAUGGAUCUCUAUGAAAUUUUACCAUAAGGUUCAAUACCACAAAAGGAAGGUGGGGAUUGAUUUUGGGGGUUAUGGUACCAACAGUUAAGGAAUUAGGGGCCAAAAAUAAGCAUUUUUGUAACUUCCAGACAUAACUUGUGUGUAAGUGUAUGGAUCUCUCUGACAUUGUACCAUAAGGUUCCAUAUCACAAAGGGAAUGCUAGGAUUGAUUUUGGGGGUAAUUGCCUCCAAAUUUUAGGAAUUAGGGGCCAAAAAGGGGCAAAAAACAAGCAUUUUUCUAGUUUCAUGACAAUAACUUGUGUGUAAGUGUAUGGAUCUCUCUGACAUUGUAUCACAAGGUUCCAUAUCACAAAGGGAAUGCUGGGAUUGAUUUUGGGGGUAAUUGCCUCCAAAUUUUAGGAAUUAGGGGCAAAAAAGGGGCAAAAAACAAGCAUUUUUCUAGUUUCAUGACAAUAACUUGUGUGUAAGUGUAUGGAUCUUUAUGAAAUUGUACUACAAGGUUCCAUAUCACAAAGGGAAAGCUGGAAUUGAGUUUGGGGGUAAUUGCCCGAAACGUUUAGGAAUUGGGGGCCAAAAAGGGGCCAAAAAUAAGCAUUUUUCUAGUUUCCAGACAAUAACUUGUGUUCAAGUGUAUGGAUCUCUCUGAAAUUGUACUGCAAGGUACCAUACCACAAAGGGAAGGCUGGGAUUGAGUUUGGGGGUGAUGAAUCAUAAGGGGGUUCAAAAAAUUUGGGGGGGGGGGGGGGUUUUCUUUUUUUUUCUUUUUUUCCUUUUUUUUUUCUUUUAAAAUUUUCCAUUUUAAGUUGGUUAUUUCUGAUUAAUAUUUAAAAGCAAAUAAUAAUGAUAUGGUAGGAGAUACACACCAAACAGGAUGUGUAAAUUAUUAUAUAAUAAGUAUUGUGCAAUAGCAAGAAAUUUUCAAUUGCACAGUAUUGCACAAUUGCAAGAAAUCUCCAAUUGCACAGUAUUGCGCAAUAGCAAGAAAUCUUCAAUUGCACAGUAUUGCGCAUUAGCAAGAAAUAUCCAAUAGCACAAUAUUGCGCAAUAGCAAGAAAUUGUCAAUUGUACAGUAUUGCACAAUAGCAAGAAAUAUUCAAUUGCACAGUAUUGUGCAAAAGAAGAUACUUCGUAUAAAUUGCUUAUUUCUUGAUCAAUUUCAAUGGGGUUUUAUUCUUGAAUUCUUGGGGUUCUUUAAUAUGCUGAAUCUAACCGUGUAUUAAGUUUUUGGAUUUUGGGCCCCGUUUUUAAAUUGGUCCACAUUGAGGUCCAAAGGGUCCAAAAUUUAACUUUGUUUGAUUUCAUCAAAAAUUGAAUUAUUGGGGUUCUUUGAUAUGCCGAAUCUAACCGUGUAUUUAGAUUCUUAAUUUUUGGUUCCGUUUUCAAAUUGGUCUACAUUAAGGUCAAAAGGGUCCAAAAUUAAACUUAGUUUGAUUUUAACAAAAAUUGAAUUUUUAGGGUACUUUGAUAUGCUGAAUCUAAACAUGUAUUUAGAUUUUUGAUUAUGGGCCCAGUUUUCAAGUUGGUCCAAAUCGGGGUCCAAAAUUAAACUUUGUUUGAUUUCAACAAAAAUUGAAUAUAUGGGGUUUUUUGAUAUGCUGAAUCUAACCAUGUAUUUAGAUUUUUGAUUUUUGGGCCCCGUUAUCAACUUUGUCCACAUUGAGGUCAAAAGGGUCCAAAAUUAAACUUUGUUUGAUUUCAUCAAAAAUUGAAUUCUUGGGGUUCUUUGAUAUGCUGAAUCUAACCAUGUAUUUAGAUUUUUUAUUUGUGGACCCGCUAUCAAAUUGGUUCAUAUUGAGGUCAAAAGGGUCCAAAAUUAAACUUUGUUUGAUUUCAUCAAAAAUGAAUUAUUGGGGUUCUUUGAUGUGCCAAAUCUAACCGUGUAUUUAGAUUUUUAAUUUUGGGUCCCGUUUUUAAAUUGGUCUACAUUAAGGUCCAAAGGGUCCAAAAUUAAACUUAGUUUGAUUUUAACAAAGAUUGAAUUUUUGGGGUUCUUUGAUAUGCUGAAUCUAAACAUGUGUUUAGAUUUUUGAUUAUGGGCCCAGUUUUCAAGUUGGUCCAAGUUGGGGUCCAAAAUUAAACUUUGUUUGAUUUCAACAAAAAUUGAAUAUAUGGGGUUCUUUGAUAUGCUGAAUCUUACCAUGUAUUUAGAUUUUUUAUUUGUGGGCCCGCUAUCAAAUUGGUUCAUAUUGAGGUCAAAAGGGUCCAAAAUUAAACUUUGUUUGAUUUCAUCAAAAAUUGAAUUAUUGGGGUUCUUUGAUAUGCCAAAUCUAACCGUGUUUUUAGAUUUUUAAUUUUGGGUCCCGUUUUUUAAAUUGGUCUACAUUAAGGUCCAAAGGGUCCAAAAUUAAACUUAGUUUGAUUUUUAACAAAAAUUGAAUUCUUGGGGUACUUUGAUAUGCUGAAUCUAAACAUGUGUUUAGAUUUUUGAUUAUGGGACCAGUUUUCAAGUUUGUCCAAGUUGGGGUCCAAAAUUAAACUUUGUUUGAUUUCAACAAAAAUUGAAUAUAUGGGGUUCUUUGAUAUGCUGAAUCUAACCAUGUAUUUUGAUUUUGGACAUUGGACCAUAAUAGGUAAAUUAAAAAAAUUGAAGUUCUUAGACCACAUUCUUUCUGUGUCAGAAACCUAUGCUGUGUCAAAUAUUUAAUCACAAUCCAAAUUCAGAGCUGUAUCAAGCUUGAAUGUUGUGUCCAUACUUGCCCCAACUGUUCAGGGUUCGACCUCUGCGGUCGUAUCAAGCUGCGCCCAGCGAAGCAUUUUAUUAUUUACUUGAAGAAGUAAAUAUUAAUAUACUUAUAUAAGUAAAUUUGUAGGAUACUUAUACAAGUGUAUUUUAUUUACUUGUAUAGGUAAAUUAUUUUUUAGCUUAGUUAUGUCCCUUAGACAUUCAGAUUUUUUUACUUAUACAAGUAAAAAAUUCAUCCUAUCUUCUUUUGUUGAAUUCUUAGGACUUCUUUGCUCUAAUAGAAUUUUAAAUUGUCUGUCCUUUGCAGAUGUCUUAACUUAUCAUUUAAGUGUAAUUUCAUGGACAAUGAAAAUCUCAUUUGUCUGUUAUCUUCAGAACACUGCUCAUUUACAAGCCCCCAAGGAGCAAUUUUUUAAGGCCUUGCGCAAAUA